AGUGAACGCUGGCGGUAGGCCUAACACAUGCAAGUCGAACGGCAGCACAGUAAGAGCUUGCUCUUACGGGUGGCGAGUGGCGGACGGGUGAGGAAUACAUCGGAAUCUACUUUUUCGUGGGGGAUAACGUAGGGAAACUUACGCUAAUACCGCAUACGACCAACGGGUGAAAGCAGGGGAUCUUCGGACCUUGCGCGAUUGAAUGAGCCGAUGUCGGAUUAGCUAGUUGGCGGGGUAAAGGCCCACCAAGGCGACGAUCCGUAGCUGGUCUGAGAGGAUGAUCAGCCACACUGGAACUGAGACACGGUCCAGACUCCUACGGGAGGCAGCAGUGGGGAAUAUUGGACAAUGGGCGCAAGCCUGAUCCAGCCAUACCGCGUGGGUGAAGAAGGCCUUCGGGUUGUAAAGCCCUUUUGUUGGGAAAGAAAAGCAGCAGGUUAAUACCCCGCUGUUCUGACGGUACCCAAAGAAUAAGCACCGGCUAACUUCGUG
This 492-nucleotide ribosomal RNA is filed under the name uncultured bacterium. RNAcentral describes it as "partial 16S ribosomal RNA". It matches the Rfam family "Bacterial small subunit ribosomal RNA", at positions 29 to 507 of the family's 1533-position model. The record is from RNAcentral.